This 34-nucleotide small RNA is filed under the name Arabidopsis thaliana (thale cress). The record is from RNAcentral. Lineage: Eukaryota; Viridiplantae; Streptophyta; Magnoliopsida; Brassicales; Brassicaceae.
CCAGUCCAGGGGACAAAUCAAUAGGAAAUGCUAU